RNAcentral lists this ribosomal RNA (253 nucleotides) under uncultured bacterium. RNAcentral describes it as "partial 16S ribosomal RNA". It matches the Rfam family "Bacterial small subunit ribosomal RNA", at positions 524 to 776 of the family's 1533-position model. The record is from RNAcentral.
UACAGAGGGGGCAAGCGUUGUUCGGAAUUACUGGGCGUAAAGGGCGCGUAGGCGGCCCUCUAAGUCGAACGUGAAAUCCCCGGGCUCAACCCGGGAACUGCGUCCGAUACUGGAAGGCUUGAAUCCGGGAGAGGGAUGUGGAAUUCCAGGUGUAGCGGUGAAAUGCGUAGAUAUCUGGAGGAACACCGGUGGCGAAGGCGACAUCCUGGACCGGUAUUGACGCUGAGGCGCGAAAGCGUGGGGAGCAAACAGG